This 458-nucleotide ribosomal RNA is filed under the name uncultured bacterium. RNAcentral's name for it is "partial 16S ribosomal RNA". It matches the Rfam family "Bacterial small subunit ribosomal RNA", at positions 338 to 795 of the family's 1533-position model. The record is from RNAcentral.
CCUACGGGUGGCAGCAGUGAGGAAUAUUGGUCAAUGGGCGAGAGCCUGAACCAGCCAAGUCGCGUGAGGGAGUACUGCCCUAUGGGUUGUAAACCUCUUUUGUCGGGGAGCAAAAGCCGGACGUGUCCGGCUGUGAGCGUACCCGAAGAAAAAGCAUCGGCUAACUCCGUGCCAGCAGCCGCGGUAAUACGGAGGAUGCGAGCGUUAUCCGGAUUUAUUGGGGUUAAAGGGUGCGCAGGCGGAUUUUUAAGUAAGCGGUCAAAUAGUGGGGCUCAACCCCAUCCAGCCGUUGAAACUGGGGAUCUAGAGUGUGCGAGAGGUAUGCGGAAUGCGGGGUGUAGCGGUGAAAUGCAUAGAUAUCACGCAGAACCCCGAUUGCGAAGGCAGCAUACCGGUGCACAACUGACGCUCAGGCACGAAAGCGUGGGUAUCGAACAGGAUUAGAUACCCGGGUAGUC